Molecule: ribosomal RNA, 402 nt
Filed under: Triticum aestivum (bread wheat)
Lineage: Eukaryota; Viridiplantae; Streptophyta; Magnoliopsida; Poales; Poaceae
Description: partial small subunit ribosomal RNA
Source: RNAcentral
AUGAAAAUCCUUAGUUGGAACUGUUGAGGGCUGGGACAACCUCGUACGGUUCAGGAGCUUGUGUGUCUGACUAAGACGCACCGUCCCAAUGUUAUCUUUCUUUCGGAAACUAGAAAAAAUAAAGAAUAUGUUGAGCUUUUGCGGUACCGGUUGGGUAUGAAUAAUGUGUUUACUGUUUCUGGCCAUGGUAAAGGUGGAGGUCUAGUCGUGUUUUGGGAUGGAGCAUAUUCUUGUGAGCUAAACAAAUAUGGUGAACAUUUUAUGGACAUGUACGUCAACAAGGGUGAUGGUACAAAGUGGAGGUGCACAUUUAUUUAUGGAGAGCCUAAGGCGAGCCAGAGGUAUGUUAUGUGGGAUGUUUUGAGGCGGAUUAAACCUCUUGGUGUUGGACUUGGUUUAUGA